CCUAUUUGCAUUUUAAAGACCCCCAAUUAUGGUUUUCUAUCUAUUUAACACAUUUGGCUAGCAAAACAAAACUUUUGCCCCUUAUGCGAUUUAGUCCUUUUUCGUAAUUAAGCUCACAAUCGCUAAAAUUAAUUAACCAAAAUUUUCAUGCACUUGUAUAAUCAUGCUAUGGCACAUAAAAUAAUAUUAAAUAAUUUCUUUGGCCUUGGAAUAGUAGUUCCAAAACCACUGUCUCGACUAGGCCCA
Molecule: long non-coding RNA, 246 nt
Filed under: Gossypium barbadense (sea-island cotton)
Lineage: Eukaryota; Viridiplantae; Streptophyta; Magnoliopsida; Malvales; Malvaceae
Description: long non-coding RNA (GBAR_LNC011432)
Source: RNAcentral